GAUGAACGCUAGCUACAGGCUUAACACAUGCAAGUCGCGGGGCAGCAUGUUGGUUGCUUGCAACCGAUGAUGGCGACCGGCGCACGGGUGAGUAACGCGUAUCCAACCUACCUAUUACCACGGGAUAACCCGGCGAAAGUCGGACUAAUACCGUAUGUAGUCCUCCAAUGGCAUCAGCAGUGGACUAAAGGUUUGGCGGUAAUGGAUGGGGAUGCGUCCGAUUAGCUAGUUGGUGAGGUAAUGGCUCCCCAAGGCUUCGAUCGGUAGGGGUUCUGAGAGGAAGGUCCCCCACACUGGAACUGAGACACGGUCCAGACUCCUACGGGAGGCAGCAGUGAGGAAUAUUGGUCAAUGGACGAGAGUCUGAACCAGCCAAGUAGCGUGCAGGAUGACUGCCCUAUGGGUUGUAAACUGCUUUUAUGCGGGGAUAAAGUGGGGAACGUGUUCU
RNAcentral lists this ribosomal RNA (448 nucleotides) under Prevotella sp. oral taxon 781. RNAcentral's name for it is "bacterial SSU rRNA". It matches the Rfam family "Bacterial small subunit ribosomal RNA", at positions 28 to 466 of the family's 1533-position model. Lineage: Bacteria; Pseudomonadati; Bacteroidota; Bacteroidia; Bacteroidales; Prevotellaceae. The record is from RNAcentral.